GAAAACAGAACAAGAAAGUAUGAGGACGAAU
This 31-nucleotide non-coding RNA is filed under the name Rattus norvegicus (Norway rat). Lineage: Eukaryota; Metazoa; Chordata; Mammalia; Rodentia; Muridae. The record is from RNAcentral.